Molecule: ribosomal RNA, 705 nt
Filed under: Sphalmium racemosum
Lineage: Eukaryota; Viridiplantae; Streptophyta; Magnoliopsida; Proteales; Proteaceae
Description: eukaryotic LSU rRNA
Rfam family: 5.8S ribosomal RNA (bases 270-425)
Source: RNAcentral
GUAGGUGAACCUGCGGAAGGAUCAUUGUCGAUACCUGCCCAGCAGAGAGACCCGUGAACACGUUGCCAUCGAUCGGGGUGAGGGGGUAUGGGGGUGUGAGCCCCCUGCCCCCCGAUCCCCGUAAAGGUCGGCCCGCGAACCUCCGUGGGAUCCGACCUAUAACACAACCACCGGCGCGGUUGGCGCCAAGGAACUCACAACGGAAUGGGCGUUGCCAUCACCACGCCCUAGGAGUGGUGUGUGCCGUCUUCGAUCCGAAUCUCACGAACGACUCUCGGCAACGGAUAUCUCGGCUCUCGCAUCGAUGAAGAACGUAGCGAAAUGCGAUACUUGGUGUGAAUUGCAGAAUCCCGUGAACCAUCGAGUCUUUGAACGCAAGUUGCGCCCUAGGCCAUCGGGCUGAGGGCACGCCUGCCUGGGCGUCACGUACCGUGUUUCCCGCCUCCGUCGCCCCCUGGGGCGGUGGAGUGCGGGUUGGAUAUUGGCCCCCCGUGCCCACUUUUGAGGUGCGGUCGGCCCAAACGCAAGUCCCCCCGUGUGGCGACCGUCACGACGAGUGGUGGUCGAAGCCGCUUUGCCACUGUUCGGACGUCGUGUGCGGUUUUCGCUCUCGCGGGCGGGUUACGUAGUAGAACCCCGAUCACAUGCCCGUCUCGCGACGGCAUUUCGACAGCGACCCCAGGUCAGGCGGGGCUACCCGCUGAG